Molecule: ribosomal RNA, 254 nt
Filed under: uncultured bacterium
Lineage: Bacteria
Description: partial 16S ribosomal RNA
Rfam family: Bacterial small subunit ribosomal RNA
Source: RNAcentral
UACGGGGGGAGCAAGCGUUGUUCGGAUUUACUGGGCGUAAAGGGCGCGUAGGCGGUCAGCACAAGUCAGUUGUGAAAUCUCCGGGCUUAACUCGGAAAGGUCAACUGAUACUGUGCGACUAGAGUGCGGAAGGGGCAACUGGAAUUCUCGGUGUAGCGGUGAAAUGCGUAGAUAUCGAGAGGAACACCUGCGGCGAAGGCGGGUUGCUGGGCCGACACUGACGCUGAUGCGCGAAAGCCGGGGGAGCGAACGGG